This 308-nucleotide long non-coding RNA is filed under the name Crocodylus porosus (Australian saltwater crocodile). Its description in RNAcentral is "lncRNA (ENSCPRG00005006980.1)". The record is from RNAcentral. Lineage: Eukaryota; Metazoa; Chordata; Crocodylia; Crocodylidae.
CCUUGCUGCUGGAUCAGUGCCUCAGAAGGAAGGGGAAGGAGAGAAGAAGCCCUGUUAAAGGCAUGAGAAACAUCUUCUAGCCCACGUGACAAAGGCUCUAGCCAAAAGGACCAGAUGGAAUGGAUUUUUCAGAUUUCCAGAAUGAAGCCCCACAACCACUGGACUUAAACUCACUGACUUGGAUGCAAGAACUCUCUUGUUGUCCCCGCUCUUUAGGCGCACUGAUAGGCUCCAGAAGAAGAGAGAGAGAGAGGUUUUGUGCCUGAGAGCCCCAACCAAGGAGCAAGAGGGAGUUUGGGAUUUUGUUU